RNAcentral lists this ribosomal RNA (468 nucleotides) under uncultured bacterium. Its description in RNAcentral is "partial 16S ribosomal RNA". It matches the Rfam family "Bacterial small subunit ribosomal RNA", at positions 28 to 507 of the family's 1533-position model. The record is from RNAcentral.
GACGAACGCUGGCGGCGUGCUUAACACAUGCAAGUCGAACGGAAAGGCCCUGCUUUUGUGGGGUGCUCGAGUGGCGAACGGGUGAGUAACACGUGAGUAACCUGCCCUUGACUUUGGGAUAACUUCAGGAAACUGGGGCUAAUACCGGAUAGGAGCUCCUGCUGCAUGGUGGGGGUUGGAAAGUUUCGGCGGUUGGGGAUGGACUCGCGGCUUAUCAGCUUGUUGGUGGGGUAGUGGCUUACCAAGGCUGUGACGGGUAGCCGGCCUGAGAGGGUGACCGGCCACAUUGGGACUGAGAUACGGCCCAGACGCCUACGGGAGGCAGAAGUGGGGAAUAUUGCACAAUGGGCGGAAGCCUGAUGCAGCAACGCCGCGUGCGGGAUGACGGCCUUCGGGUUGUAAACCGCUUUCGCCUGUGACGAAGCGUGAGUGACGGUAAUGGGUAAAGAAGCACCGGCUAACUACGUG